AGAGUUUGAUCCUGGCUCAGAGCGAACGCUGGCGGCAGGCCUAAAACAUGCAAGUCGAACGAACCCUUCGGGGUUAGUGGCGGACGGGUGAGUAACACGUGGGAACGUGCCCUUUGGUUCGGAACAACUCAGGGAAACUUGAGCUAAUACCGAAUGUGCCCUACGGGGGAAAGAUUUAUCGCCAUUGGAGCGGCCCGCGUCUGAUUAGCUAGUUGGUGAGGUAAAGGCCCACCAAGGCUACGAUCAGUAGCUGGUCUGAGAGGAUGAUCAGCCACACUGGGACUGAGACACGGCCCAGACUCCUACGGGAGGCAGCAGUUAGGAAUCUUGCGCAAUGGGCGAAAGCCUGACGCAGCCAUGCCGCGUGAAUGAUGAAGGUCUUAGGAUUGUAAAAUUCUUUCAGCGGGGAAGAUAAUGACGGUACCCGCAGAAGAAGCUCCGGCUAACUUCGUGCCAGCAGCCGCGGUAAUACGAAGGGGGCUAGCGUUGCUCGGAAUUACUGGGCGUAAAGGGCGCGUAGGCGGAUGACUAAGUUGGGGGUGAAAGCCCGGGGCUCAACCUCGGAACUGCCUUCAAUACUGGUCAUCUUGAGUUCGGGAGAGGUGUGUGGAACUCCGAGUGUAGAGGUGAAAUUCGUAGAUAUUCGGAAGAACACCAGUGGCGAAGGCGACACACUGGCCCGAUACUGACGCUGAGGCGCGAAAGCGUGGGGAGCAAACAGGAUUAGAUACCCUAGUAGUCC
Molecule: ribosomal RNA, 742 nt
Filed under: uncultured bacterium
Lineage: Bacteria
Description: bacterial SSU rRNA
Rfam family: Bacterial small subunit ribosomal RNA
Source: RNAcentral